UACGUAGGGGGCAAGCGUUGUCCGGAUUUAUUGGGCGUAAAGAGCGUGUAGGCGGCCAGUUAGGUCGUUUGUGAAAACUGGAGGCUUAACCUUCAGACGUCGAUCGAAACCAUCUGGCUAGAGUCCGGAAGAGGAGAAUGGAAUUCCUGGUGUAGCGGUGAAAUGCGCAGAUAUCAGGAAGAACACCCGUGGCGAAGGCGGUUCUCUGGGACGGUACUGACGCUGAGACGCGAAAGCGUGGGGAGCGAACAGG
This 253-nucleotide ribosomal RNA is filed under the name uncultured bacterium. RNAcentral describes it as "partial 16S ribosomal RNA". It matches the Rfam family "Bacterial small subunit ribosomal RNA", at positions 524 to 776 of the family's 1533-position model. The record is from RNAcentral.